GAUGAACGCUGGCGGCGUGCCUAAUACAUGCAAGUCGAGCGAACAGACGAGGAGCUUGCUCCUCUGACGUUAGCGGCGGACGGGUGAGUAACACGUGGACAACCUACCUAUAAGGCUGGGAUAACUUCGGGAAACCGGAGCUAAUACCGGAUAAUAUAUUGAACCGCAUGGUUCAAUAGUGAAAGACGGUUUUACCGUCACUUAUAGAUGGAUCCGCGCCGCAUUAGCUAGUUGGUAAGGUAACGGCUUACCAAGGCAACGAUGCGUAGCCGACCUGAGAGGGUGAUCGGCCACACUGGAACUGAGACACGGUCCAGACUCCUACGGGAGGCAGCAGUAGGGAAUCUUCCGCAAUGGGCGAAAGCCUGACGGAGCAACGCCGCGUGAGUGAUGAAGGUCUUCGGAUCGUAAAACUCUGUUAUUAGGGAAGAACAAAUGUGUAAGUAACUAUGCACGUCUUGACGGUACCUAAUCAGAAAGCCACGGCUAACUACGUGCCAGCCGCCGCGGUAA
RNAcentral lists this ribosomal RNA (513 nucleotides) under uncultured bacterium. RNAcentral's name for it is "partial 16S ribosomal RNA". It matches the Rfam family "Bacterial small subunit ribosomal RNA", at positions 28 to 523 of the family's 1533-position model. The record is from RNAcentral.